RNAcentral lists this ribosomal RNA (586 nucleotides) under Saccharomyces cerevisiae (brewer's yeast). RNAcentral's name for it is "partial 18S ribosomal RNA". It matches the Rfam family "Eukaryotic large subunit ribosomal RNA", at positions 49 to 649 of the family's 3401-position model. The record is from RNAcentral. Lineage: Eukaryota; Fungi; Ascomycota; Saccharomycetes; Saccharomycetales; Saccharomycetaceae.
AGCGGAGGAAAAGAAACCCACCGGGAUUGCCUUAGUAACGGCGAGUGAAGCGGCAAAAGCUCAAAUUUGAAAUCUGGUACCUUCGGUGCCCGAGUUGUAAUUUGGAGAGGGCAACUUUGGGGCCGUUCCUUGUCUAUGUUCCUUGGAACAGGACGUCAUAGAGGGUGAGAAUCCCGUGUGGCGAGGAGUGCGGUUCUUUGUAAAGUGCCUUCGAAGAGUCGAGUUGUUUGGGAAUGCAGCUCUAAGUGGGUGGUAAAUUCCAUCUAAAGCUAAAUAUUGGCGAGAGACCGAUAGCGAACAAGUACAGUGAUGGAAAGAUGAAAAGAACUUUGAAAAGAGAGUGAAAAAGUACGUGAAAUUGUUGAAAGGGAAGGGCAUUUGAUCAGACAUGGUGUUUUGUGCCCUCUGCUCCUUGUGGGUAGGGGAAUCUCGCAUUUCACUGGGCCAGCAUCAGUUUUGGUGGCAGGAUAAAUCCAUAGGAAUGUAGCUUGCCUCGGUAAGUAUUAUAGCCUGUGGGAAUACUGCCAGCUGGGACUGAGGACUGCGACGUAAGUCAAGGAUGCUGGCAUAAUGAUUAUAUGCCGCC